CACAGGGUUCACACCACUCUGGGCUCAUUUAAGGGCAAGCCUCCAUAGGGAGACUAUCUCUUGGUUGAAGGCUGUGUCCUGAGGAGUGAGUGUUCUAUUGCCAGAGACCCUCAUCAACAGCUGGCAAAAGUUCUCAAAAGGCUUUGUGACACCACUGGCCAGCACCAACCCAAAUAUUGCAGAUGGAGUGAUACAGAGUCCUGGUGAGAAAGGAGGGGAGGGCACCCAGAUGUCCAGAGCCAGCAGUCCUGGCUCCUGAGACUACAGCUGCCACAACAGGGCAUCCGAGGAAGACAGAAGCAGAGGAACAGGCUGACAAAAUGGUAUCCUGACCUGGAAGUGCAGAUGAAGCAAGGGGUUGUCAUUGAAUUCCUCCAAGUGGAAAAAAUGGCACCCAUUGAUAUUCACUGGUGCUUAAAUGAUGCACUGAUGUUAAACGUUUGUGGAGACAAAGCAUUGGAUUUUACAUACGUUGUGAUGCUGAUGAAGCUGAAGGUUUGAACUUCCAGCAUGAGGCCAGAGAAGAAGACAUCCUUCCUAUUGCAACUCAGUAAUGCCAGGCCUCAUACCAAUUUGAAGAUCAUUGCCAAUCUUGGCUGGACUGCACUACCACAUCCACCAUACAGUCUGGAUUUGGUGCCCUCUGACUUUCCUCUGUUCAGGCUGAUGAAAGAUGGACUGCGUGGUCAACAUUUUCCUAGCAGCAAUACUAUCAUAGCAUCUCUGAAACAGUGGGUCACUUCCAUUACGGUGUAUUUUUUAUGAUAACAGCAUGUAGGCUUAUGUUCACCACUGGCAAAAAUGCAUAGCUUAAUGGUGGUGAAUCUGCUAGAAAAUCUUGUUUUGUAGCUGAGAAUCUGCCCUAUCAAAUAGUGUUAUUGUACUCUUUGUAUCAGUUGUGGUUUCCAUGGAAAUAAAUACGAGCUAUUACUUUCAGAGUGACCAACGUGUAAACAUUUAAAAAAAAUACUGAAGCCUUCAGUCGUUGGCAUUUAACCUCUUGUCAGCAAGAAUAGCAUAUCUACUGCUUCUCAGUUCCAUAGCCUUGAUAGUUUCUGGUCUCUGUCAUCCUGAGAUUCUGCGAAACAAUUCUUUAUGCUAAUUAUACCUUGAUAUAAGAUGCUGCUAGUUUGGAGUAGUGAUUUCAUUUUCAUUUAUGGAAAUGAGCAUGUGAGAUCAAGAGAAAAGGCAAAGUCCUCCGAAGGAGGGGUAGUGUAGAAGAAUAGACUCCUCACAAGAACUCCAACAUUAUUUCUUCCUAUUUUUUUUUUUCUAGAAGCAGCUAUCAUGGUUACAGCUAGACGGUAUUUAGAAAGAGGAUUUAAAAUAAAUAUUUUAUUUCCCCUGGAAUUACUGAAGAAGCAUUGAAUUACUUUUCAAAGUAGUUCAACGUGGUUAGGUUGUUUCAUUUUUUCUGAAUGUGUGAGGCUGUUUCUGCUUGGAAUGCAGCAUCUCUUUC
This is a long non-coding RNA of Gallus gallus (chicken), 1459 nucleotides long. NCBI's taxonomy places the organism in Eukaryota, Metazoa, Chordata, Aves, Galliformes, Phasianidae. The record is from Ensembl.